RNAcentral lists this transfer RNA (62 nucleotides) under Paraphysomonas imperforata. Lineage: Eukaryota; Chrysophyceae; Chromulinales; Paraphysomonadaceae. The record is from RNAcentral.
GCAGCCGGGCGCUGGAGCGAUGAGCCCGGCCGCAACGUCUUCCUGCACAGCGCGCCGUUCUA